Molecule: ribosomal RNA, 474 nt
Filed under: uncultured bacterium
Lineage: Bacteria
Description: bacterial SSU rRNA
Rfam family: Bacterial small subunit ribosomal RNA
Source: RNAcentral
ACUCCUACGGGAGGCAGCAGUAGGGAAUCUUCCACAAUGGGCGCAAGCCUGAUGGAGCAACACCGCGUGAGUGAAGAAGGGUUUCGGCUCGUAAAGCUCUGUUGUUAAAGAAGAACACGUAUGAGAGUAACUGUUCAUACGUUGACGGUAUUUAACCAGAAAGUCACGGCUAACUACGUGCCAGCAGCCGCGGUAAUACGUAGGUGGCAAGCGUUAUCCGGAUUUAUUGGGCGUAAAGAGAGUGCAGGCGGUUUUCUAAGUCUGAUGUGAAAGCCUUCGGCUUAACCGGGAGAAGUGCAUCGGAAACUGGAUAACUUGAGUGCAGAAGAGGGUAGUGGAACUCCAUGUGUAGCGGUGGAAUGCGUAGAUAUAUGGAAGAACACCAGUGGCGAAGGCGGCUACCUGGUCUGCAACUGACGCUGAGACUCGAAAGCAUGGGUAGCGAACAGGAUUAGAUACCCUGGUAGGAUAGCG